GUGGGGAAUCUUGCGCAAUGGGCGAAAGCCUGACGCAGCAACGCCGCGUGCGGGAAGAAGGCCUUCGGGUUGUAAACCGCUUUCAGCAGGGAAGAGGGCGAGCAGGUUAAUAGCCUGUCAGCUGACGGUACCUGCAGAAGAAGGCCCGGCUAACUACGUGCCAGCAGCCGCGGUAAUACGUAGGGGCCGAGCGUUGUCCGGAAUCAUUGGGCGUAAAGAGCGUGUAGGCGGCCACUUAAGUCCUGCGUGAAAUCUCGGGGCUCAACCCCGAGCGGUCGUGGGAAACUGGGUGGCUAGAGUGCGGGAGAGGAGAGUGGAAUUCCUGGUGUAGCGGUGGAAUGCGCAGAUAUCAGGAAGAACACCCGUGGCGAAGGCGGCUCUCUGGAACGCAACUGACGCUGAGACGCGAAAGCGUGGGGAGCAAACAGGAUUAGAAACCCUAGUAGUCC
Molecule: ribosomal RNA, 449 nt
Filed under: uncultured bacterium
Lineage: Bacteria
Description: bacterial SSU rRNA
Rfam family: Bacterial small subunit ribosomal RNA
Source: RNAcentral